Molecule: RNA transcript, 2691 nt
Organism: Scleropages formosus (Asian bonytongue)
Lineage: Eukaryota; Metazoa; Chordata; Actinopteri; Osteoglossiformes; Osteoglossidae
Gene: doc2g
Gene name: double C2-like domains, gamma
Exons: 11
Source: RefSeq, a predicted model, not a curated record
CUUACAGCAAGCCAACGCUCGGCAAGUCGGCGCUCGGCACUUAUUUUAAUCUCGCUCAGUGAGCCGUUGCAGGUCCCGCUCGGGUUAUUGAGAGAGGGCAUCGCUCCGCCUCCUCGAUCACACGCAGGAGCGUGUGAAUGUGCAGUGUCCUGUGAUGCGCUGAUGUCAUUCCUGUUUCGGCAGAAGACGCGGCUCGGGGCCCCGCUGCCGGCGCUCGGCACUCCGCGCACACGGCUGCUGGAGAUGGACCAGGAGAAUUCAGAAUUUAGCAGGAAACGUCACAAGCAGAGGCAGGGGGAGGGGCAAGAGUGGAGGGGGUAGGGUGGCGGAGGGAGAGAACGAGAGAGAGCGAGCGAGAGAAGGAGAGAGGUGGGGGGUUAUAUUGACUCAGCUCAGCUUUUGGUCAUUCACCAGUGUGUGAUCGACACAGAGGACAUGCAAGGGGACAUGAUGGAGCUCAGAAACGGACGAGGACUGUGACUGGGUCACACACAUCUUCACUGUAAUGCGGAACACUGGAAAAACAGGACUGUAGGUGCAGUUCACACCUGCGUUGCGCUGAAAACAUCUGCGAUGUGAGAGAAAGUUAUCAUUUGACAUCUCGAGUGUCUCGAUGGACACGACAGUAUAGCAGCCCUGCGCUCAGAGGGGCAGCGAGCGCAGCAAAAACGGAGUAGCUGACGAGACGCCGCCGCACUUGGACACGGGAACACUUGAGAGGGAGAGGCGAAGAAAGAGCGCGAGGGUGCGAGGGAGAGCGGGACGCACGCAGGGGGACGGUGGUAGAUGACCGUAUCCGUGUCCUGCCACCCUGACCCUUGUGCCCCUGUUCUCGGCCUCCUGUCCCCGUGUCUCAGCAUGAGCGUGUCGAAGCCCCCCCGGCCUCACUCCCACUUCCUCCCGCACCCGCAGCCCCCCAACCCCUCGGCCCACCUGUCCCUGCCGUCGGGGGGCAGCUCUCUGCCAGCUUCGCCCUCCCCUUCGCCCACCCCCUCGCCCUCGCCCGUCAAGAUCUCCAUGCAGGAGCACUUUGCCAUCAACGUGUGCCCGGGCCCCAUCCUGCCCAUCCCGCAGAUUUCCGACUUCUUCCCGCGCUUCCACGACUUCCCGUGCCCACCGGCGACAGCGCAGCAGCGCGACAAGCAGGCGCAGCGGGACGCUGGGAAGGACCGUCAGCGGGAUGCCGAGGACGAGCCGGAGCUCGUGGACUCCGACGAUGAUGAGACCUAUCUGGGCACCCUGGAGUUCAGCCUCCUCUUCGACCAGGAGAACAACUGCCUCCACUGCACUGUGCACCGCGCCAAGGGCCUGAAGGCCAUGGACUCGAACGGACUGGCCGACCCCUAUGUGAAGCUACACCUCCUGCCUGGAGCGAGCAAGGCAAACAAACUGCGCACCAAGACCUUGAAAAACACACUGAACCCCGUGUGGAACGAGACUCUGGUUUACCACGGUAUCACCGCAGCCGACAUGACCACGAAAACGCUCAGGCUCUGCGUCUGCGACAUGGACCGCCUCGGUCGCAACGAGUUCAUCGGGGAGGUGAGAGUGGCUCUAAAGAAGCUACACGAGGGGGAGACCAAGAGGUACAACAUGGGCCUGGAGAGACAGGCGCAGAACAGAGAGGCCCACAAUGCCGUGGUGGAACCCGGAACCCUGGUGGCCGAAGAGGAGAGAGGUCGCAUCCUCGUGUCGCUGCUCUACAACCAGGAGAAGAGCUCACUGUUUGUGGGCAUCAUCCGCUGCGCCCACCUGGCAGCCAUGGACUCCAACGGGUACUCGGACCCCUUCGUCAAGAUUGUCCUGCAGCCCGAUGUGGGGAAGAAGUCCAAGUACAAGACCUCAGUGAAAAAGAAAACUCUGAACCCGGAGUUCAAUGAGUGCCCUCCGGUUCCUGCAGGAGUUUGUGUAUGAAGUUCCUCAUGACCAGCUGGCUAAGAAGACCCUGGAGAUCUCGGUGUGGGACUAUGACCUGGGGAUGAGCAACGAUUUCAUAGGGGGGGUGGAGCUCGGGAUCAACGCUAAGGGACAGCGGCUCAAGCACUGGUUCGAGUGCCUGAAAUACACGGGGAAAAGGGUGGAGUGCUGGCACACGCUGACGCAGCAGGGGCAGCCCAGCAGUGACUGAAACAAACACACACACACACACACACACACACACACACAGUAUCCUAACGCAGGGACCUAUGCAUGCACAUUGACAAAGGCACAUCUGUUGAUACAGCAAAUAAGUAAUGUAAUAAUACCAAAAUUAAUAAUGAUACUAAUACUACUGCUAAUAAUAAUAAUAAUAAUAAUGAAUUCAUUAAUUAUCAUAUCUUUUGUAAACUAUUCACUGAACAGUUACUGCAAUAAUAGGACCAAUAACAGGAAAAAGAAUCAAGUAAUAAUAAUUGUUGAUAUUGACUUUUCCGUGUUUAUGGAUUUACUGAAGAUGAGACCUGUAACGUCACCACGGUAACGGUGGAGUUACCCCACACACGUGUCAUUUCCUCCUCUGCGUGACCAGAGUUGGUGUGUAACCGUGCUGUGUGUACCCUGGACGCCUGUUUCUCUCUCAUCACUCCAUCGCCGUGGAGUCACUCCUGCGUCCUCUCUUCUCGUGAGAAAAGCACAAGGCAGCCCCACUCCUGCUGCGGGAGGCCGUGCGUCGUGUUCCGUGUGUGUGUGUGUGUGUGUGUGUGUGUGUGU